RNAcentral lists this ribosomal RNA (253 nucleotides) under uncultured bacterium. RNAcentral's name for it is "partial 16S ribosomal RNA". It matches the Rfam family "Bacterial small subunit ribosomal RNA", at positions 524 to 776 of the family's 1533-position model. The record is from RNAcentral.
UACGGAGGGGGUUAGCGUUGUUCGGAAUUACUGGGCGUAAAGCGCGCGUAGGCGGACCAGAAAGUUGGGGGUGAAAUCCCGGGGCUCAACCCCGGAACGGCCUCCAAAACUCCUGGUCUUGAGUUCGAGAGAGGUGAGUGGAAUCCCGAGUGUAGAGGUGAAAUUCGUAGAUAUUCGGAGGAACACCAGUGGCGAAGGCGGCUCACUGGCUCGAUACUGACGCUGAGGUGCGAAAGUGUGGGGAGCAAACAGG